Molecule: ribosomal RNA, 468 nt
Filed under: uncultured bacterium
Lineage: Bacteria
Description: partial 16S ribosomal RNA
Rfam family: Bacterial small subunit ribosomal RNA
Source: RNAcentral
GACGAACGCUGGCGGCGUGCUUAACACAUGCAAGUCGAACGGAAAGGCCCUGCUUUUGUGGGGUGCUCGAGUGGCGAACGGGUGAGUAACACGUGAGUAACCUGCCCUUGACUGUGGGAUAACUUCAGGAAACUGGGGCUAAUACCGGAUAGGAGCUCCUGCUGCAUGGUGGGGGUUGGAAAGUGUCGGCGGUUGGGGAUGGACGCGCGGCUUAUCAGCUUGUUGGUGGGGUAGUGGCUUACCAAGGCUUUGACGGGUAGCCGGCCUGAGAGGGUGACCGGCCACCUGGGGCCUGCGAUACGGCCCAGACUCCUACGGGAGGCAGCAGUGGGAAAUAUUGCACAAUGGGCGGAAGCCUGAUGCAGCAGCCCCGCGUGCGGGAUGACGGCCUUCGGGUUGUGAACCGCUUUCGCCUGUGACGAAGCGUGAGUGACGGUAAUGGGUAAAGAAGCACCGGCUAACUACGUG